UCCGGUUUUGGCCGGCAGUCUCGCCAGAGUUCCCGUCUAUUCCGAAGAAUACCGUGGCAACUGGCGAUAGGGGUUGCGCUCGUUGCGCCACUUAAGGCAACACCUCACGACACGAGCUGACGACAACCAUGCACCACCUGUGAACCGGCCCCAAAGGGGAAACCACAUUUCUGCGGCGGUCCGGUCCAUGUCAAGCCUUGGUAAGGUUCUUCGCGUUGCAUCGAAUUAAACAACAUGCUCCGCUGCUUGUGCGGGCCCCCGUCAAUUCCUUUGAGUUUUAGCCUUGCGGCCGUACUCCCCAGGCGGGGUGCUUAAUGCGUUAGCUUCGGCACGGAGGGAGUUGACACCCCCCACACCUAGCACCCAUCGUUUACGGCGUGGACUAC
RNAcentral lists this unclassified non-coding RNA (386 nucleotides) under uncultured Actinomycetes bacterium. RNAcentral describes it as "uncultured actinobacterium contains 16S-23S intergenic spacer region". Lineage: Bacteria; Bacillati; Actinomycetota; Actinomycetes. The record is from RNAcentral.